This 73-nucleotide transfer RNA is filed under the name Nevskiaceae bacterium. RNAcentral's name for it is "tRNA-Ile". It matches the Rfam family "tRNA". From Rfam's summary of the family: Transfer RNA (tRNA) molecules are approximately 80 nucleotides in length. The record is from RNAcentral. Lineage: Bacteria; Pseudomonadati; Pseudomonadota; Gammaproteobacteria; Nevskiales; Nevskiaceae.
CGCAAUGUAGCUCAGUGGAUAGAGCAAGCAGCUUAUAACUGCUAGGCCGAGGGUUCGAUUCCCUCUGUUGUGU